GGGGGCGUUUUGGAUUCGACGGGGAUUGUUCGAGCAUGAACGGCGGGUCGUGGGGCUGCGAGGCCACGUAAAAAACGCGGAUCGAAAUUAACUGGCAAAGCUAAGAAGAGCUUCAACAACAACCUCGCCCUGGCUGCCUAAUUGGCUCCAGGCCGUUACCUUGUGAUGGGUCCGUGAUCACCUGGUGACGUCAACGAAACGGACUGGUUAAUCGCUGUGCUCGACGGCGGUUAACGAGAAAAACGAGCUCACCUGCAGGCAAGCGUGUGCAUCCGCGUGCCGCAGGGACAGGACAAUAGAUGUACUACACCCGUAGAAGUUCAUGUAGCGAGGUCUUCGGACGCGGGUUCGACUCCCGUCGCCUCCACCA
This 370-nucleotide transfer-messenger RNA is filed under the name Alicyclobacillaceae. RNAcentral describes it as "Alicyclobacillus_A contaminans Standard tmRNA". It matches the Rfam family "transfer-messenger RNA". From Rfam's summary of the family: Bacterial tmRNA, also known as 10Sa RNA or SsrA, is named for its dual tRNA and mRNA-like properties. The record is from RNAcentral. Lineage: Bacteria; Bacillati; Bacillota; Bacilli; Caryophanales. RNAcentral also lists the same sequence under 1 other name.